GAAAGAUCCCAUGCACUGAGAGAAGCAGGAGAGACUACAGCAGCAGACGCUUGCCACAGUGCUGUUCUAUACUACUUGAUCCAGAUUUGCUGGAGCUCCUCUGGUGGAGAGAGUCACAGGCUUGUGCCUCUUGGCAGGCUCAAGAAAAAAAGUAUAUCAAAAUGGGAUGGAGAGUGUCAAACAGAAAGAAAGAUGACCUUCUCUGAUGGAGCUGGGCUCCAGGUUCAUAAGAAAACCAAUAGCCCAGAGAUGCAGGAGAGCAUGUCUUUAGGCCCCAGCAACUAUGGAAGCAAGAGAGUUGAAGAGACAUGCAUUAUUUAUUCCUGGCCUUUUAGACAUGCCCAGUGAAUGCUCCAUCUCAUCUAUCAUAAGCGUUUCUCCCCUUUGUGGGUGGAAUAGGGUGGAUGAGAAGGGAUUGAGUGCAGUCUUGGUAGGGAAUGGAUAGAGAAAAGGAGAAGUGAAGUGGUGCUCUCCUCCCAGAGGCCACCUUUACUCUACCUCUCACUUCUUGGCUAUCAAAUUCUUCCUACCCCUCCUCUCUGGGAAGUCUUAGCCCACAGUUGUCUUUUGCUUCUAUCAGCUUCUCUUCCACUUUCCUGCCUGACCCAACUCCUUGUCAUUCAUUCAACAAAUAUUUCCUAAAUGCCCACUGGUCUCUCCUGCUUCUCUCAGCACGUGGGACUUUUUUUCUCACCCUGAAUUGGCACGACCUGAGAUUGAGGUCUGGACAUUGAUGGGGCAGAUCCCUUGGCUGACUUGGCAUUGGAGUCUGGUUUAGAUCUGGUUGCCUGGAUGCAGAGCCUGAGACAAGGAUUUGGGUAUGCAUGAUUUUUAGGGGUUGGGUACUUUUCCGGACAUUGGGGAUUUAUUAGCAAAUAGCUGCCAUUUGUUCCCAAUGGGGAAAGACACAAUAAACAUACAAACAGCUAAAUUGGGCACAUUAGGCUAGUGAUAGGUGAUAUGAAGAAAAUAAAACAAGAGAAUCAUGUACUUAUCAUGCUAGUGUUUGUUUCUGUGAGUCUCAUCUGCCCUGUGAAGUUGCAAGUGCUUCGUGGGCAGAGAUCUCCACUAAUACUUCUUUGCUUCUUCCAAGGAGCCUGGUCCAGAGCCUUAUCUAAGCAUCAUAAGAAAUCAACACAAACUUCAUGAUUUCUGGACAGCAAUUACACUCAGGAUUUUCAACUCUGGACCAGCCUCAGGUUUCACUCCUUUUGCCCUUGGACUUCACCCAUUGUGUGCUUUGUGUGCAGUGGUGUGAAUGCGGUCUCCCAGGGCCUGCGUUUGAGCUGGCUGCUGCUUGCUGGUGUGUGACCUACGCUGAGUCUCGACUUUCAUAGUCUCACCUCCCUUCCGGGAAAGGCAAGGAAGGUGAGAAUGCCCACUCCAAAGGGUUGUGGAGGACAGAAUGGGAUGAUCCAUCUUCUAUGACAAGAGGGUGAUGGACUAAGUACUGAUUAGUGAGAAAGCCAGGAUCAGCCUCAGGGGAUCCACAAGGCGCAUUGGACCCAUGGCCCUGGCCACCUGGUCAGCUUCAAGGGAGUCUUGGCCACUGGUUUUGGUCUUGAUCAAGGUCCUGAGCAUAGGCCUUUAGGAGUCAGCAGAGGAUGUGGGAGAAAGGUUCUCUCCAGCCUUCCUACUGCCACAUAUCAGGAUUCAUCUUUUCUCUCCUCAAACUGAUACCUUCCCAAUGUCCGCAUUUCUCUCCCUACUUAGGCUUGAAACCCCAGGUUUGCCUUUGCUUUUCCUUUUUCUUAUCCUAUUCCUCUACUCAGAAGCCAGGUCUCCCAGGUCCUGUGUUUUGUUUUCUCCAACUCCCAUCAUUUUCUUUCCUUUACUCCUGCCCCGCUUCCAGUUCUAGGUCCUUACUUUGCAUUUUGGGGUGGUUGGUGUAACUUCCUCAUCGGUAUCUCUGACUCCUGCUUCUCCUCUUCACACUCCAUCUGGCAUACUCAGAGAUCCAGCUGAAAAAUAGAAGGACUCUAGGAGAAAAUAGUGCGGACCCCUUUUGCUGGCAUUUUGAGCUCUCUGCUACUGGCCCUCUCUACCUUCGUAGCUUCCAUCUGCCAGGCAGCAGCCAGCUUGUCCACUCACUGCUCCCUGAACGUAUCUGGUGUCUCCCUGCCUCUGAGCUUUUGCUCAUGCUGUUCCUGCUGUUGAGGAUGCUGGAUUUGCCCUGCUCUUCAACACCCAGUUAAGAGGUAGUCCCUGAUGCCACAAUCAGCUGGGAACUCGAUAUCACCUCUGCAAUUUGUACCCCUGAUCUUACACCUUUUGCAUGAUACUUACAUUCAGAUUGAUACUCUAGGAGUUCUUGAUUUUUUUUGUGAUAUUACUGAGGGAGCUUUACUUUUUUAGACCCUGACAUGAGAAUGUCAGCCAUGUUUGUCGAGAAUGUGAGUUCUCUCCAGCAGCAGAUGCUGAGUCCGGUAGAGCUGAGAUGAGGACACCUGACACAACCCAAGUGGGUGUCUGUGGUUGCACUUGAGUGGCAGGGGAUGGAGGAGCAACCAGGGAGAUGGCAAAAUAUGAUGUGUCCCGCUUAAUGUUCCUUCUUCCUGGGAUUCUCCAAAUCUUCAGUAAAGAUAAAAUUCUUGAAGCAAGAAGAAUUUCUGUAGAACCAGAGAAAACAUUGACUCAUGGGUCGGUGGCAUCCCAGGUGACCUAGGAGUGGGUGGGCCAAAGAAACAUGAAGAGCCCACCUGUCAGCUGCCUGCAGGGACUGUGGAGAUGCCUUGGUUCCCAUGAAAGGUGACGAGUGUAGUUUCUGAUGAGUUCAAUGCCAUUUCUUUUGCAGAGUGGCUUGGGGGAACCCAGAUGGCAUCUGGGAUAGAUUUCUCAUCCUGUCUGAGAGAUUCUUGGGGAAGAAUGCUAAAAUCCUUCCUUUUAGUUCCUCUGGUUCGAUGCCUAGCACAGCAAUUGUUGAUUUAAAUAGAGAUACUGAGGCAGGUGGUGAUUUCUUUGCAGGGGAGUACGUGCUACCAGACAGUUUGUUUCUCCUACUUAGUAUUACAUAACGUGCUCUUUCUCCCAUUUUUAUAUAUGAUCCUCACAGUGAGCAUGGAUGAGAGACUUUGUAUACAGAGAAAGAAAAUGGGACUCACAGAGGGUGAAUGACUUCCUGAAGAUCGCACAGUUAGAAAGUGGCAGAGCUGGGACUUAAAUCCAGAGUUCCUGGCUGCAAAUCUAGUGCUUGGUCAGUCUUCCAUACCAGGCAGACUCCUGAGUUCUUAUACAUCAAGUAAGGCUGAACUGGGAGAAUCUGGGAAGCUGGAUUGCAGUGCCCUCUCUAUUAACUCCCAAAGGAAAAUGAUAUAAUUUGAGAGUAUGAGCUGAUGCUAGGACUCUCUCUUCUUUCUUACAUUAUCUUCAUGGAACAUUUUGGUCAUGUACAGAUACGAAAGAGUCCCCAGAAUGUCUUCCAAAGGAAUUUCAGGACCCUAAAGCCUGGAAGCAUCAGAAAACAUUAGUCAUCUGGAUCACUGAACCAGAGCACUGCUUUGAAAUGUAAAGGAUUCCUGCAUGAAUGUCCACUCCACCCAGAAGACCGUCAUUGUUGCUGGUAGGGUGUAAUCUACAAUUUGUGGCCUUCACCAUUGUGUCAUGCAUUGAUUCCUACAUCAAGAGCCACGUGGGGUACAUGUCAUUUUCCUUCUCUUUACAAAUGAGAAAAUGAGGCUCAGAUUAAAUUACUUGCCCACGUUCAUGCAGCUAGUAAUGGAGAGAUGUGGAAUACAAAGCCAUAUUAUUUCUUAAUUCAAAUGCUGUGUUCUCAGCCACGAUGCUAUCAUGCCUGCAAGUAGACAUUUGCUGAUUGAAUGGAGUUGAAUCACACUACAGGAGUGAGUGUGGAUAAGAGCCAAGUGUCUAGUACAGACAGAAAUGUGCAGGAGUAGAGAGAAGGGUGGAUUGCCGGGAGAAAGUGUGGCACUGCCAUCAGACUGUAGGUGGCCUCGCCAUUGGGUCAAGCAAGUAUUUGGUGCUGGGGAGUAUGGAGGGGGCACACGGGCCUUCUCAGGCAGCCCAAGAAGGACGAGGCCUUAUAGGAAAACUGACUUAAGAUGAACCCUGCCAGAAAGGGCCACUCCGUCACCAGCCUUGUCUGAGGUCAUAUUUCAAAGACUGGCUCAGGGCCACUGGCUGGGGUGCAGGGCUGUGAGAUCAUGGCUGAGCAAUCUGACUUUUAAAAAAUAUAAGGACCAACUUGGGAGUUUUAUCGCAGUUCUGCGUUCUGCCGCCCAGGCAUGAAGUCAGCUGGCCUGCUUGUGACAGGGAGCAUUUCACUUGUAAUUAGCUGGUUUUUUUUUUUUUUUUUUUUAAUAUUCUGCCUAAACUGCGGUGUGGUGUGAGUGAGCCCGCUCCCUUGGAGCUGCCCCACAGCGGUAGCGGAGGUGAGUCAUGGCCAUAAAAUCUGGAAAGCUCGUAGGGGGAUGGAGGGCGGUGGAGAAAUAUAAAUUAUUGUGAUCGUCUUUCAGGAGCGCUCGAGUUAAUUAUUGUACUUUCGCCAGCUGCGUUGUGCCUUCAUCAAUGCCGAGCCAGAAGUGAUGGUUUUAGUGGGGAAAGAGUCGUUCUUUAAUGGGGCAGAGGCCCACGAAGCCCUGUGUUCUUUUGAGGGAGGUUGGGUGCAUGAAAUUCCCAGCACCAGCUGGAACCUGUGCGGAUUUGCUCUGAGACACUUGGGUGUGAGCAGCGUCACGUUUUCUUUAUUUUUCUAAAGCAAAUAAAUCUGGCUUCGUUCUCCACCUGCCAGGGCUGGCAGGCAACCC
Molecule: long non-coding RNA, 4763 nt
Filed under: Homo sapiens (human)
Lineage: Eukaryota; Metazoa; Chordata; Mammalia; Primates; Hominidae
Description: long non-coding RNA NONHSAT162688.1
Source: RNAcentral